Molecule: ribosomal RNA, 448 nt
Filed under: Veillonella parvula
Lineage: Bacteria; Bacillati; Bacillota; Negativicutes; Veillonellales; Veillonellaceae
Description: bacterial SSU rRNA
Rfam family: Bacterial small subunit ribosomal RNA
Source: RNAcentral
GACGAACGCCGGCGGCGUGCUUAACACAUGCAAGUCGAACGAAGAGCGAUGGAAGCUUGCUUCUAUCAAUCUUAGUGGCGAACGGGUGAGUAACGCGUAAUCAACCUGCCCUUCAGAGGGGGACAACAGUUGGAAACGACUGCUAAUACCGCAUACGAUCUGACCUCGGCAUCGAGGAUAGAUGAAAGGUGGCCUCUAUUUAUAAGCUAUCACUGAAGGAGGGGAUUGCGUUUGAUUAGCUAGUUGGAGGGGUAACGGCCCACCAAGGCGAUGAUCAGUAGCCGGUUUGAGAGGAUGAACGGCCACAUUGGGACUGAGACACGGCCCAGACUCCUACGGGAGGCAGCAGUGGGGAAUCUUCCGCAAUGGACGAAAGUCUGACGGAGCAACGCCGCGUGAGUGAUGACGGCCUUCGGGUUGUAAAGCUCUGUUAAUCGGGACGAAAGGC